RNAcentral lists this transfer RNA (69 nucleotides) under Alosa sapidissima (American shad). Its description in RNAcentral is "tRNA-Asp". It matches the Rfam family "tRNA". Rfam says of the family: Transfer RNA (tRNA) molecules are approximately 80 nucleotides in length. Their secondary structure includes four short double-helical elements and three loops (D, anti-codon, and T loops). Lineage: Eukaryota; Metazoa; Chordata; Actinopteri; Clupeiformes; Clupeidae. RNAcentral also lists the same sequence under 4 other names. The record is from RNAcentral.
AAGACACUAGUAAAACGAUUACCUUGCCUUGUCGAGGCAAAAUUGUGGGUUAAACUCCCGCGUGUCUUA